This 71-nucleotide transfer RNA is filed under the name Acropora cervicornis. RNAcentral describes it as "tRNA-Pro". It matches the Rfam family "tRNA". Rfam says of the family: Transfer RNA (tRNA) molecules are approximately 80 nucleotides in length. Lineage: Eukaryota; Metazoa; Cnidaria; Anthozoa; Scleractinia; Acroporidae. The record is from RNAcentral.
GGCUUCAUAGCUCAGUUGGUUAGAACGUCGCACCGGUCGCGAUGUCACGGGUUCAAACCCCGUUGAAGUCC